Molecule: ribosomal RNA, 497 nt
Filed under: uncultured bacterium
Lineage: Bacteria
Description: partial 16S ribosomal RNA
Rfam family: Bacterial small subunit ribosomal RNA
Source: RNAcentral
GAUGAACGCUGGCGGCGUGCCUAAUACAUGCAAGUCGAGCGAACAGACGAGGAGCUUGCUCCUCUGACGUUAGCGGCGGACGGGUGAGUAACACGUGGAUAACCUACCUAUAAGACUGGGAUAACUUCGGGAAACCGGAGCUAAUACCGGAUAAUAUAUUGAACCGCAUGGUUCAAUAGUGAAAGACGGUUUUGCUGUCACUUAUAGAUGGAUCCGCGCCGCAUUAGCUAGUUGGUAAGGUAACGGCUUACCAAGGCGACGAUGCGUAGCCGACCUGAGAGGGUGAUCCGCCACACUGGAACUGAGACACGGUCCAGACUCCUACGGGAGGCAGCAGUAGGGAAUCUUCCGCAAUGGGCGAAAGCUUGACGGAGCAACGCCGCGUGAGUGAUGAAGGUCUUCGGAUCGUAAAACUCUGUUAUUAGGGAAGAACAAAUGUGUAAGUAACUAUGCACGUCUUGACGGUACCUAAUCAGAAAGCCACGGCUAACUACGUG